RNAcentral lists this ribosomal RNA (467 nucleotides) under uncultured bacterium. RNAcentral's name for it is "partial 16S ribosomal RNA". It matches the Rfam family "Bacterial small subunit ribosomal RNA", at positions 28 to 506 of the family's 1533-position model. The record is from RNAcentral.
GACGAACGCUGGCGGCGUGCUUAACACAUGCAAGUCGAACGGAAAGGCCCUGCUUUUGUGGGGUGCUCGAGUGGCGAACGGGUGAGUAACACGUGAGUAACCUGCCCUUGACUUUGGGAUAACUUCAGGAAACUGGGGCUAAUACCGGAUAGGAGCUCCUGCUGCAUGGUGGGGGUUGGAACGUUUCGGCGGUUGGGGAUGGACUCGCGGCUUAUCAGCUUGUUGGUGGGGUAGGGGCUUACCAAGGAUUUGACGGGUAGCCGGCCUGAGAGGGUGACCGGCCACAUUGGGACUGAGAUACGGCCCAGACUCCUUCGGGAGGCAGCAGUGGGGAAUAUUGCACAAUGGGCGGAAGCCGGAUGCAGCAACGCCGCGUGCGGGAUGACGGCCUUCGGGUUGUAAACCGCUUUCGCCUGUGACGAAGCGUGAGUGACGGUAAUGGGUAAAGAAGCACCGGCUAACUACGU